RNAcentral lists this ribosomal RNA (446 nucleotides) under uncultured bacterium. Its description in RNAcentral is "partial 16S ribosomal RNA". It matches the Rfam family "Bacterial small subunit ribosomal RNA", at positions 338 to 795 of the family's 1533-position model. The record is from RNAcentral.
CCUACGGGCGACAGCAGUCGAGAAUCAUUCACAAUGGGGGAAACCCUGAUGGUGCGACGCCGCGUGGGGGAAUGAAGGUCUUCGGAUUGUAAACCCCUGUCAUGUGGGAGCAAAUUAAAAAGAUAGUACCACAAGAGGAAGAGACGGCUAACUCUGUGCCAGCAGCCGCGGUAAUACAGAGGUCUCAAGCGUUGUUCGGAAUCACUGGGCGUAAGGCGUGCGUAGGCUGUUUCGUAAGUCGUGUGUGAAAGGCGCGGGCUCAACCCGCGGACGGCACAUGAUACUGCGAGACUAGAGUAAUGGAGGGGGAACCGGAAUUCUCGGUGUAGCAGUGAAAUGCGUAGAUAUCGAGAGGAACACUCGUGGCGAGGGCGGGUUCCUGGACAUUAACUGACGCUGAGGCACGAAGGCCAGGGGAGCGAAAGGGAUUAGAUACCCGAGUAGUC